CGGUGGAGUAUGUGGUUUAAUUCGAUGCAACGCGAAGACCUUACCUGGUCUUGACAGUCCCCGGAGACCCUUAGGAAACUAGGGGGUGCCUUCCAUCUGGAAGAAUCUGGAGACAGGUGCUGCAUGGCUGUCGUCAGCUCGUGUCGUGAGAUGGUUGGGUUAAGUCCCGCAACGAGCGCAACCCUUGCCUUUAGUUGCCAGCAGUUCGGCUGGGCACUCUAAAGGGACUGCCGGUGUUAAACCGGAGGAAGGUGGGGAUGACGUCAAGUCCUCAUGGCCUUUAUGACCAGGGCUACACACGUACUACAAUGGCCGAUACAAAGGGCAGCGACACUGCGAGGUGAAGCCAAUCCCGUAAAAUCGGUCUCAGUCCGGAUUGGAGUCUGCAACUCGACUCCAUGAAGUUGGAAUCGCUAGUAAUCGUGGAUCAGCAUGCCACGGUGAAUACGUUCCCGGGCCUU
This 461-nucleotide ribosomal RNA is filed under the name uncultured Desulfobulbus sp. RNAcentral describes it as "bacterial SSU rRNA". It matches the Rfam family "Bacterial small subunit ribosomal RNA", at positions 930 to 1382 of the family's 1533-position model. Lineage: Bacteria; Pseudomonadati; Thermodesulfobacteriota; Desulfobulbia; Desulfobulbales; Desulfobulbaceae. The record is from RNAcentral.